UUUCCGGUUGAUCCUGCCAGAGGUCACUGCUAUCGAGGUUCGACUAAGCCAUGCGAGUCGAAUGUAGCAAUACACGGCGUACUGCUCAGUAACACGUGGAUAACCUACCCUUGAGUUGGGAAUAAACCCGGGAAACUGGGUAUAAUACCCGAUAGAUCUCGACUGCUGGAAUGCAUCGAGAUCCAAAGCUCCGGCGCUCAAGGAUGGAUCUGCGGCCUAUCAGGUAGUAGUGGGUGUAGCGUACCUACUAGCCUACGACGGGUACGGGUUGUGAGAGCAAGAGCCCGGAGAUGGAUUCUGAGACACGAAUCCAGGCCCUACGGGGUGCAGCAGGCGCGAAAACUUUACAAUGCUGGAAACAGCGAUAAGGGGACCUCGAGUGCCAGGUUACAAAUCUGGCUGUCGUGAUGCCUAAAAAGCAUUGCAUAGCAAGGGCCGGGCAAGACCGGUGCCAGCCGCCGCGGUAACACCGGCGGCUCGAGUGGUAACCGUUAUUAUUGGGUCUAAAGGGUCUGUAGCCGGCCGGAUAAGUCUCUUGGGAAAUCUGGCAGCUUAACUGUCAGGCUUUCAGGAGAUACUGUCUGGCUCGAGGCCGGGAGAGGUGAGAGGUACUUCAGGGGUAGGGGUGAAAUCUUGUAAUCCUCGAAGGACCACCAGUGGCGAAGGCGUCUCACCAGAACGGACCUGACGGCAAGGGACGAAAGCUAGGGGCACGAACCGGAUUAGAUACCCGGGUAGUCCUAGCCGUAAACGAUACUCGCUAGGUGUCGGCAACGGUGCGACCGUUGUCGGUGCCGUAGGGAAGCCGUGAAGCGAGCCACCUGGGAAGUACGGCCGCAAGGCUGAAACUUAAAGGAAUUGGCGGGGGAGCACCACAACGAGUGGAGCUUGCGGUUUAAUUGGAUUCAACGCCGGGA
RNAcentral lists this ribosomal RNA (917 nucleotides) under uncultured archaeon. RNAcentral's name for it is "bacterial SSU rRNA". It matches the Rfam family "Archaeal small subunit ribosomal RNA", at positions 1 to 923 of the family's 1478-position model. The record is from RNAcentral.